RNAcentral lists this long non-coding RNA (930 nucleotides) under Rhinopithecus bieti (black snub-nosed monkey). RNAcentral describes it as "lncRNA (ENSRBIG00000045128.1)". Lineage: Eukaryota; Metazoa; Chordata; Mammalia; Primates; Cercopithecidae. The record is from RNAcentral.
UCAGGGAAGAAUCUUCCCACACUAGACUCUCUCCAGGUGAUAUCAUCCGCUCCAUUGUUUCAGGGAUCAUCUGUGUGCUGAGAUAUCUGCAGUCUACAUCUCCAGACCAAAUCUGUCUUCAGUGUUCCAGACUCAAAUACCCAAAGACACAUCAAAUUUGACAUGUUCUCAGCUGCACCAAUCAGCAAGCCUGAAAGAACAAAGAGAAGAAAGGAAAGCAAGAAGGAAAGAAAGAACUCGCUUUUUCAUCCCCCACCUUGUGAAAUGACUCAGUGGCCCAUGUAGCUGCUCUGCCAGACCCUUGGGAGCCAUUGGCGCUCGUCCCUCCCUCAUCCUCUGCCAGGUCAACCAACUUGUCCCCAUGGACUGGAUCUCAGAGUGGCUCUGUGAGCUUGGUGCUGAAAGGGGGACAUGUGAUGACAAGAAAGAAAAAGAAUGGAAGUUUGGAGCUCACAUCGGAAUUGUGAAUCAGUGGAUGGAUGUGAAUGGACUGAGAAUUAGGAAGUCAGAGAAGGGCAUUAAGGAGUGAUAUAAAGUGUCAUCGCAACAAGCAAAGACAGCUGCGGAAGACAGGAGGGACUAGGUUCUACUUUCAAAAAUGCGUGUCACAGUGGAGCUUCAGUGAAAGGAGUCCUUCUGUCACUCGUCACUAGCUCGCUCGCUCACUGUGGGAGGAGCCCGCCUGAGGAAGCCGUGUGCCUGGGAUGCCAAGAGCGAGAGAAUGGAUCUGCUCCGAGUGGGGACAUUGCUGACAAUCCCGGCUUCCCGAGGCGGCUAAGAACAGGCACUUUGUGUCUGCUGGCUGUAGAUACCCAGAGGCACAGAGACCGAAGCCACCCGGAGGGACCCACGGACGGACAGAUGGUAGGCGCGAACCCGAGAGGACCGGCGGAGGCUGAGCACCGAGAGCCGCCAAGGAAGAGAAACUAA